Molecule: ribosomal RNA, 513 nt
Filed under: Platycerus delicatulus
Lineage: Eukaryota; Metazoa; Arthropoda; Insecta; Coleoptera; Lucanidae
Description: partial 16S ribosomal RNA
Rfam family: Archaeal large subunit ribosomal RNA (bases 128-327)
Source: RNAcentral
UUUUAUUGUUUAUACAGAUUUUAUAAUUUUUUAAUUUCUUUAUUAAUAUGUUAUAUUAAAUUAAAAUUUGUAAGUAAUUAUGAUUAAAUUAGUAUAAAUUGUUGUAAAAUAAAUUAUAAUUUUAAGAUUAAAUUAAGGAAUUCGGCAAAUCUAUUUUCUGCCUGUUUAUUAAAAACAUGUCUUUUUGUAAUUAUUUAAAGUCGGGCCUGCCCUAUGAUUAUUUAAAUGGCCGCGGUAUUUUGACCGUGCAAAGGUAGCAUAAUAAUUAGUUUCUUAAUUAGAAGCUUGUAUGAAGGGUUUGACAAGAAAAUUUCUGUCUCAAUUUAAAUAUUAGAAUUUAACUUUUAAGUUAAAAGGCUUAAAUUUUUUUAAAAGACGAGAAGACCCUAUAGAAUUUUACUUUUAAUUUAUUUAAAAUUAUAUGGUUUAUUUAUUUUUAUUUGAAUUAUUUGUUUUGUUGGGGUGAUGGAAAAACUAAAAUAACUUUUUCUUAUUUUAUUCAUUAAUUUAUGA